UACGUAGGGUGCGAGCGUUAAUCGGAAUUACUGGGCGUAAAGCGUGCGCAGGCGGUUAUGUAAGACAGAUGUGAAAUCCCCGGGCUCAACCUGGGAACUGCAUUUGUGACUGCAUAGCUAGAGUACGGUAGAGGGGGAUGGAAUUCCGCGUGUAGCAGUGAAAUGCGUAGAUAUGCGGAGGAACACCGAUGGCGAAGGCAAUCCCCUGGACCUGUACUGACGCUCAUGCACGAAAGCGUGGGGAGCAAACAGG
Molecule: ribosomal RNA, 253 nt
Filed under: uncultured bacterium
Lineage: Bacteria
Description: partial 16S ribosomal RNA
Rfam family: Bacterial small subunit ribosomal RNA
Source: RNAcentral